CAUGAAUCUGUUCAAGUGUUCGGGUGGCGUCCAUUCUUCCGAACGGGGAUGGCGAAUGUUCCAAGGAUCGAACAUUCGGAGGCCAAAGUUGUCCAGGAAUAUCUCUGAACCUUCUUGUGGGUUGUCCAAGGUUGUGGCCACGGAUUCCUGGGGCUCACCCAGGGUCUGUUCCCUUACGAGAUAAGGGUCAGAGUUGGCAGCGGAGUCCCAGUCGGAUUCCUCCUUGUCGGAGGCUGCCGUCUGCCAUUCAUCAACCACGGCUAGAGUGUGUGCUGGUCCUGCAUCAUCUUCCCCCUAGGAAGCCUGAGCGGGUUUUUGGGAUGAUCUGCUCGUGUC
Non-coding RNA from Pelobates cultripes (western spadefoot toad), 336 nucleotides. Lineage: Eukaryota; Metazoa; Chordata; Amphibia; Anura; Pelobatidae. The record is from the annotation of a GenBank genome assembly.